CAAGGAAUUUUCCCCAAUGGGCGCAAGCCUGAGGGAGCAACGCCGCGUGCAGGACGACGGCCUUCGGGUUGUAAACUGCUUUUGCGUGGGACGAUAACGACGGUACCACGCGAAUCAGCCCCGGCUAACUCUGUGCCAGCAGCCGCGGUAAUACAGAGGGGGCAAGCGUUGUCCGGACUUACUGGGCGUAAAGCGUCCGUAGGCGGUUUAUCAAGUCAGUUGUUAAAGACUGCAGCUCAACUGUGGGCGAGCAACUGAAACUGAUGAACUAGAGUGCGGUAGGGGUAGAGGGAAUUCCCAGUGUAGCGGUGAAAUGCGUAGAUAUUGGGAAGAACACCAGUGGCGAAGGCGCUCUACUGGGCCGCAACUGACGCUGAGGGACGAAAGCUAGGGGAGCGAAAGGGAUUAGAUACCCCCGUAGUCC
RNAcentral lists this ribosomal RNA (424 nucleotides) under uncultured prokaryote. RNAcentral describes it as "bacterial SSU rRNA". It matches the Rfam family "Bacterial small subunit ribosomal RNA", at positions 355 to 796 of the family's 1533-position model. The record is from RNAcentral.